Long non-coding RNA from Cyprinus carpio carpio, 518 nucleotides. The record is from Ensembl. NCBI's taxonomy places the organism in Eukaryota, Metazoa, Chordata, Actinopteri, Cypriniformes, Cyprinidae.
CCGUAACACACGGAUGACGUAAGGCUGUGUCUGACCUGGAGUGCAGCAGCUGAGUCUGACAGCAUCAUCCGCUCACAUCAGGCUUUCCUGCACCGUCAGCAGCGGAUCAGCUUUCUCCAGACACAGAUCUGUGAAUCAUCUCUACAGACCAGCUGUCUGCUGGUAAACACGAGCCAAACCGGCACCGAGACCGGCUGCCCACAAACUCAAUCCUUCCCUCCGGCGGCUGCUAAUGCAGGAUGAGCUCAUGCUCUCAGAGACACACUCACUUAAUACAUCCAUAUAUGAUUUGAUGUGAUAUGAUGUGAUGUGAUGAGAAGAGAUGAGAUGAGAUGAGAUGAGAUGAGAUGAGAUGAGAUGAGAUGAGAUGAGAUGUGAUGUGAUGUGAUGUGAUGAGAUGAGAUGUGAUGAGUUGUGAUGAGAUGAGAUGAGAUGAGAUGAGAUGAGAUGUGAUGAGAAGAGAUGUGAUGUGAUGAGAUGAGAUGAGAUGAGAUGUGAUGUGAUGUGACGAGAUGAGA